Rosa chinensis is the source of this 619-nucleotide long non-coding RNA. RefSeq lists it as uncharacterized. NCBI's taxonomy places the organism in Eukaryota, Viridiplantae, Streptophyta, Magnoliopsida, Rosales, Rosaceae. The record is from RefSeq and is a predicted model, not a curated record. The transcript has 4 exons.
AAGGUGAAAGCUGAAUGCCAACAGUUCAGGGAAUAUUGUAGGGCAGGAAAUGGAGAAUGGUUAUUGUUUGGAACAGCACACGAGAGGAUCAGAGGAUGAUUGUUACUGAUAUUUGAAUUAGAACAAAUCUCCUGAACAGAAAAUGAACAAGUAUGAUGGUAGAGUUCCUAUGAGUUCAGAUUCGAUGAGUAAAAUAGAGGCAGAACUUGAAGCUGAACUUGGGAGGUUGGGGCUAAACAGGAAUACUUCUACUUUGGAGAGAAGAUUAACUGAUCUUGAUGAGGUGAUGGUGUGAGUGUGUGACAGAGUAAAAGCAGGAUCUCCUUCAAUAUAUCUGACAGCUGUUAAGGUAUUUUGAUCGAUUUUCCGGGUUUGAGCCUUCAUGCAGCUGUAAUGUUUUGUUGCUUUUUUUUUUCCUUCACUCGGUUGAAUCAGACUUCAAACUUAAUUUGUUGUUAUAAUGUUGAAACCAGCUGUAAUGGAUUUUGGUAUGAGGAAGGGCGUAAUGGAUUCAGUACCUGUAUGUUUUGGCUUUGCCUUUUGUGAAUUCUUAUAUACUCAUUGUGUUUUUCUUUUUUAAGAAAUAAUGAAAAUUGUAAUGCAGAUGGUGAUGGGAUUA